This 473-nucleotide ribosomal RNA is filed under the name uncultured bacterium. RNAcentral describes it as "partial 16S ribosomal RNA". It matches the Rfam family "Bacterial small subunit ribosomal RNA", at positions 28 to 507 of the family's 1533-position model. The record is from RNAcentral.
GAUAAACGCUGGCGGCGCACAUAAGACAUGCAAGUUGAACGGACUUAAUCUAAAUAUUUAUAUUUUGAAGCGGUUAGUGGCGGACUGGUGAGUAACGCGUAAGGAACCUGCCUAUUAGAGGGGAAUAACAGUGAGAAAUCAUUGCUAAUACCGCAUAUGCCAUAGAUAUCACAUGAUAACAGUGGGAAAGGAGCAAUCCGCUAAUAGAUGGCCUUGCGUCUGAUUAGAUAGUUGGUGGGGUAACGGCCUACCAAGUCGACGAUCAGUAGCCGGACUGAGAGGUUGAACGGCCACAUUGGGACUGAGAUACGGCCCAGACUCCUACGGGAGGCAGCAGUCGGGAAUAUUGCGCAAUGGAGGAAACUCUGACGCAGUGACGCCGCGUAUAGGAAGAAGGUUUUCGGAUUGUAAACUAUUGUCGUUAGGGAAGAGAAAGGACAGUACCUAAGGAGGAAGCUCCGGCUAACUACGUG